GACGAACGCUGGCGGCGUGCUUAACACAUGCAAGUCGAACGGAAAGGCCCUGCUUUUGUGGGGUGCUCGAGUGGCGAACGGGUGAGUAACACGUGAGUAACCUGCCCUUGACUUUGGGAUAACUUCAGGAAACUGGAGCUAAUACCGGAUAGGAGCUCCUGCUGCAUGGUGGGGGUUGGAAAGUUUCGGCGGUUGGGGAUGGACUCGCGGCUUAUCAGCUUGUUGGUGGGGUAGUGGCUUACCAAGGCUUUGACGGGUAGCCGGCCUGAGAGGGUGACCGGCCACAUUGGGACUGAGAUACGGCCCAGACUCCUACGGGAGGCAGCAGUGGGGAAUAUUGCACAAUGGGCGGAAGCCUGAUGCAGCAACGCCGCGUGCGGGAUGACGGCCUUCGGGUUGUAAACCGCUUUCGCCUGUGACGAAGCGUGAGUGACGGUAAUGGGUAAAGAAGCACCGGCUAACUACGUGCCAGCAGCCGCGGUGAUACGUAGGGUGCGAGCGUUGUCCGGAUUUAUUGGGCGUAAAGAGCUCGUAGGUGGUUGAUCGCGUCGGAAGUGUAAUCUUGGGGCUUAACCCUGAGCGUGCUUUCGAUACGGGUUGACUUGAGGAAGGUAGGGGCGAAUGGAAUUCCUGGUGGAGCGGUGGAAUGCGCAGAUAUCAGGAGGAACACCAGUGGCGAAGGCGGUUCUCUGGGCCUUUCCUGACGCUGAGGAGCGAAAGCGUGGGGAGCGAACAGGCUUAGAUACCCUGGUAGUCCACGCUGUAAACGGUGGGUACUAGGUGUGGGGUCCAUUCCACGGGUUCCGUGCCGUAGCUAACGCUUUAAGUACCCCGCCUGGGGAGUACGGCCGCAAGGCUAAAACUCAAAGGAAUUGACGGGGCCCCGCACAAGCGGCGGAGCAUGCGGAUUAAUUCGAUGCAACGCGUAGAACCUUACCUGGGUUUGACAUGGAUCGGGAGUGCUCAGAGAUGGGUGUGCCUCUUUUGGGGUCGGUUCACAGGUGGUGCAUGGCUGUCGUCAGCUCGUGUCGUGAGAUGUUGGGUUAAGUCCCGCAACGAGCGCAACCCUUGUUCACUGUUGCCAGCACGUUAUGGUGGGGACUCAGUGGAGACCGCCGGGGUCAACUCGGAGGAAGGUGGGGAUGACGUCAAGUCAUCAUGCCCCUUAUGUCCAGGGCCUCACGCAUGCUACAAUGGCUGGUACAGAGAGUGGCGAGCCUGUGAGGGUGAGCGAAUCUCGGAAAGCCGGUCUCAGUUCGGAUUGGGGUCUGCAACUCGACCUCAUGAAGUCGGAGUCGCUAGUAAUCGCAGAUCAGCAACGCUGCGGUGAAUACGUUCCCGGG
RNAcentral lists this ribosomal RNA (1343 nucleotides) under uncultured bacterium. RNAcentral describes it as "16S ribosomal RNA". It matches the Rfam family "Bacterial small subunit ribosomal RNA", at positions 28 to 1378 of the family's 1533-position model. The record is from RNAcentral.